Molecule: small nuclear RNA, 23 nt
Filed under: Arabidopsis thaliana (thale cress)
Lineage: Eukaryota; Viridiplantae; Streptophyta; Magnoliopsida; Brassicales; Brassicaceae
Description: snRNA_04761
Source: RNAcentral
CUACACGUUUUGCUAGUUAACCU